RNAcentral lists this ribosomal RNA (253 nucleotides) under uncultured bacterium. RNAcentral describes it as "partial 16S ribosomal RNA". It matches the Rfam family "Bacterial small subunit ribosomal RNA", at positions 524 to 776 of the family's 1533-position model. The record is from RNAcentral.
UACGUAGGGGGCAAGCGUUGUCCGGAAUCAUUGGGCGUAAAGCGCGUGUAGGCGGCCCGGUAAGUCCGCUGUGAAAGUCCAGGGCUCAACCCUGGAAUGCCGGUGGAUACUGUCGGGCUAGAGUGCGGGAGAGGCGAGUGGAAUUCCUGGUGUAGCGGUGAAAUGCGCAGAUAUCAGGAGGAACACCAAUUGCGAAGGCAGCUCGCUGGAACGUAACUGACGCUGAGACGCGAAAGCGUGGGGAGCAAACAGG